UACGUAGGGAGCGAGCGUUGUCCGAAUUUACUGGGCGUAAAGCGCGCGUAGGCGGGCUAAUAAGUUGUGGGUGAAAUGCCGAGGCUCAACCUCGGCGCUGCCUGCAAGACUGUUGGUCUUGAGGUAUGGAGGGGAAAGCGGAAUUCCUGGUGUAGCGGUGAAAUGCGUAGAUAUCAGGAGGAACACCGAUGGCGAAGGCAGCUUUCUGGCCAUAUCCUGACGCUGAGGUGCGAAAGCCAGGGUAG
Molecule: ribosomal RNA, 245 nt
Filed under: uncultured bacterium
Lineage: Bacteria
Description: partial 16S ribosomal RNA
Rfam family: Bacterial small subunit ribosomal RNA
Source: RNAcentral